GACUAACGCUGGCGGCGUGCCUAAUACAUGCAAGUCGAACGGUCAUGCGUUUGUAGCAAUAUGAAUGUAUGAUAGUGGCGAACGGGUGAGUAACACGUGGAUAAUCUACCUCUAAGUGGGGGAUAACUCCGGGAAACUGGGGAUAAUACCGCAUAACAUUUCGGCAGGACAUCCGGCUGAAAUCAAAGGAGCAAUUCGCUAAGAGAUGAGUCCGCGUCCCAUCAGCUAGUUGGUAGGGUAAUGGCCUACCAAGGCUUCGACGGGUAGCCGGCUUGAGAGAGCGAUCGGCCACAAGGGGACUGAGACACGGCCCCUACUCCUACGGGUGGCAG
This 332-nucleotide ribosomal RNA is filed under the name uncultured bacterium. RNAcentral's name for it is "bacterial SSU rRNA". It matches the Rfam family "Bacterial small subunit ribosomal RNA", at positions 28 to 351 of the family's 1533-position model. The record is from RNAcentral.